Molecule: long non-coding RNA, 1322 nt
Organism: Ictalurus punctatus (channel catfish)
Lineage: Eukaryota; Metazoa; Chordata; Actinopteri; Siluriformes; Ictaluridae
Exons: 2
Source: RefSeq, a predicted model, not a curated record
AAAUUGGCAACAGCUCCUGCGUUAUAAGAUUUGUAUUUCAAAUCACCAAUGUGAUCAUCUCCAAGGACCUUCAGCUGAGGAACGGAACAUAUGAUUUAAUACAAAACAAGGUCAGCAGCCUGGUGCCAAGUCCAAGUGCUGGAAAAGGAAAUCAGCAUCUCCAUAAAGCUCGUCAGCAGAUGGAAGCAUGAAGUGCUCUAAAAUCUCCUGGUAGAUGCUGCAUUGACUCUCAACUUGAGAAAACACAGUGGACCAACACCAGCUGAUGACAUGGCACCUCAAAUCAUCACUGACUGUAGAAACUUCACACUGGACUUCAAGCAACUUGGAUUCUGUUCCUCUCCACUCUUCCUCCAGACUCUGGGACCUUGAUUUCCAAAUGAAAUGCAAAAUUUACUUUCAUCUGAAAAGAGGACUUUGGACCACUGAGCAAUGGUCCAGUUCUUUUUAAAGGCUCAGGAAACCUUUGCAGGUGUUUUGAGUUAAUCAGCUGAUUAGAGCUCUUCUCAGGUCGCUAUUUCUGUAUUAUAAAUUCUUUAUUCUAAUAUUUUGAGAUGCUGGAUUUUUGAUGUCCUUGAGCUGUAAGCCGUAAUCAUCAAGAUUAAAACAAAAAAGCUUGAAAUAAUUUCAAAAGCUUGAAAUAAUACAUUAUUCAGUUAAGAGGUAUAGGAGAGCCAGAAUGGAAUAUUCAUGAAAACAUUUCAACAAGCAAAAAGUCUAGCUAGGGAGGAGUUUUGAAAGACAAAGACAAUUUGAGUCUCCCCAAAGAAUUUUCACCUUACCUGUGGUCACUAGCUGUGAGUAUUGAACAAAUGAAUUAGGUCCCAAGUACAGGCAGCACAACUGACAUUUUCUCUGCAGACUUAAUCUUUAAGAUAAGGUGAGGAGUUAAACAAUCUGGGAGAGCCUCAGAAUAGAGAUGCUGCUCCUCUGAAUCGAAAGAAGCCAGUUGAAGUGGUUGUCAUCGAACAAGGUGACUAAACCCGCUAGAGCUGAAUAAGACAUGUUCCACUGGAUGGAGACUCCGGAGCAGACCCAGAAGUUAUGUGCUUCAUACAUUGUGGCAACAGUUUGAGGAAAGGCAGCAUAUGUGGGUAAUGAUCGUGUCCACACAUUUAUGGCUAUAUAGUGUAUUUUCUUGGUUACCAGUUUUAACUGUUAAGAUUUUAUUUCUCAUGUGUUGCAUUUUAAUUAAUUUUCAUAAGUCACCAUUUAAAUUUUAUUUCCAAUAUUUUAAUAUUCACAUAAACAUGAUGUUAUCAUUUUUACAUAUUUGUGGAAUGUGUGUAUAUAAUAUACAUUAAAUAACUUUCUUACAUUAA